GAUGAACGCUGGCGGCGUGCCUAAUACAUGCAAGUCGAGCGAACAGACGAGGAGCUUACUCCUCUGACGUUAGCGGCGGACGGGUGAGUAACACGUGGAUAACCUACCUAUAAGACUGGGAUAACUUCGGGAAACCGGAGCUAAUACCGGAUAACAUGUUGAACCGCAUGGUUCAACAGUGAAAGACGGUCUUGCUGUCACUUAUAGAUGGAUCCGCGUCGCAUUAGCUAGUUGGUAAGGUAACGGCUUACCAAGGCAACGAUGCGUAGCCGACCUGAGAGGGGGAGGGCCCACAUGGGAAGGGGCACACCACCCGGACUCCUGCGGGAGGGGGAGGGGGGGAAUGUCCGGAAGUGGGGAAGACCCGGACGGACAAGCCCCGAGUGAGAAAAAAGGGUUUCGGGAUCGAAAACCUGUUUUAUGGGGAAAAAAAAAGUUUGUAGUAACAAGUACUCGUCUUGAGGAUACCAAACAAAAAAGCAAGGGCUAACUAGGUG
This 497-nucleotide ribosomal RNA is filed under the name uncultured bacterium. Its description in RNAcentral is "partial 16S ribosomal RNA". It matches the Rfam family "Bacterial small subunit ribosomal RNA", at positions 28 to 507 of the family's 1533-position model. The record is from RNAcentral.